AGUGAACGCUGGCGGUAGGCCUAACACAUGCAAGUCGAACGGCAGCACAGUAAGAGCUUGCUCUUACGGGUGGCGAGUGGCGGACGGGUGAGGAAUACAUCGGAAUCUACUUUUUCGUGGGGGAUAACGUAGGGAAACUUACGCUAAUACCGCAUACGACCUACGGGUGAAAGCAGGGGAUCUUCGGACCUUGCGUGAUUGAAUGAGCCGAUGUCGGAUUAGCUAGUUGGCGGGGUAAAGGCCCACCAAGGCGGCGAUCCGUAGCUGGUCUGAGAGGAUGAUCAGCCACACUGGAACUGAGACACGGUCCAGACUCCUACGGGAGGCAGCAGUGGGGAAUAUUGGACAAUGGGCGCAAGCCUGAUCCAGCCAUACCGCGUGGGUGAAGAAGGCCUUCGGGUUGUAAAGCCCUUUUGUUGGGAAAGAAAAGCAGCAGGUUAAUACCCCGCUGUUCUGACGGUACCCAAAGAAUAAGCACCGGCUAACUUCGUG
This 492-nucleotide ribosomal RNA is filed under the name uncultured bacterium. RNAcentral's name for it is "partial 16S ribosomal RNA". It matches the Rfam family "Bacterial small subunit ribosomal RNA", at positions 29 to 507 of the family's 1533-position model. The record is from RNAcentral.